AGAGUUUGAUCCUGGCUCAGGAUGAACGCUGGCGGCGUGCUUAAUACAUGCAAGUCAUACGGGACUUAUCAAAAGCUUGCUUUUGAAAAAGUCUAGUGGCGAACGGGUGAGUAAUACAUAAGCAACCUGCCUACACGACUGGGAUAACUAUUGGAAACGAUAGCUAAUACCGGAUAGGUAAAAUGAAGGCAUCUUUAUUUUAUUAAAGUUGGGUUUCCAACACGAGUAGAUGGGCUUAUGGUGUAUUAGCUAGUUGGUAAGGUAAUGGCUUACCAAGGCGAUGAUACAUAGCCGGCCUGAGAGGGUGAACGGCCACAUUGGGACUGAGACACGGCCCAAACUCCUACGGGAGGCAGCAGUAAGGAAUUUUCGGCAAUGGGCGAAAGCCUGACCGAGCAACGCCGCGUGAGUGAUGAAGGCCUUUGGGUUGUAAAGCUCUGUUGUAAAGGAAGAACAUGCGAAUGAGGAAAUGCUUUCGUAUUGACGGUACUUUACUAGAAAGUCACGGCUUACUACGUGCCAGCAGCCGCGGUAAUACGUAGGUGGCAAGCGUUAUCCGGAUUUAUUGGGCGUAAAGGGUGCGCAGGCGGUUGGUUAAGUUUGAGGUUAAAGCGUUGGGCUCAACCCAAUAUAGCCUUGAAAACUGGCCAACUAGAGUGCAGAAGAGGGAAACGGAAUUCCAUGUGUAGCGGUAAAAUGCGCAGAUAUAUGGAGGAACACCAGCGGCGAAGGCGGUUUCCUGGUCUGUAACUGACGCUCAUGCACGAAAGCGUGGGGAGCAAAUAGGAUUAGAUACCCUAGUAGUCCACGCCGUAAACGAUGAAUACUAAGUGUUGGAGCAAUUCAGUGCUGUCGUUAACGCAAUAAGUAUUCCGCCUGAGGAGUAUGCACGCAAGUGUGAAACUUAAAGGAAUUGACGGGGACCCGCACAAGCGGUGGAGUAUGUGGUUUAAUUCGACGCAACGCGAAGAACCUUACCAGGCCUUGACAUCCUUGGCAAAGCUAUAGAGAUAUAGUGGAGGACACCCAAGUGACAGGUGGUGCAUGGUUGUCGUCAGCUCGUGUCGUGAGAUGUUGGGUUAAGUCCCGCAACGAGCGCAACCCUUGUUUCUAGUUACCAAUAUUAAGUUAGGGACUCUAGAGAGACUGCCGGUGAUAAACCGGAGGAAGGUGGGGAUGACGUCAAAUCAUCAUGCCCCUUAUGGCCUGGGCUACACACGUACUACAAUGGCGUAUACAACAAGUCGCAAUAUCGCAAGAUGGAGCUAAUCUUUAAAAUACGUCUCAGUUCGGAUUGAAGUCUGCAACUCGACUUCAUGAAGUUGGAAUCGCUAGUAAUCGCGGAUCAGCAUGCCGCGGUGAAUACGUUCUCGGGUCUUGUACACACCGCCCGUCAAACCAUGAGAGUUGGUAAUACCCGAAGCCGGUAGCCUAACCGUAAGGAGGGAGCUGUCGAAGGUAGGACUAAUGAUUGGGGUUAAGUCGUAACAAGGUAUCCCUACGGGAACGUGGGGAUG
Molecule: ribosomal RNA, 1517 nt
Filed under: oral metagenome
Description: bacterial SSU rRNA
Rfam family: Bacterial small subunit ribosomal RNA
Source: RNAcentral